Molecule: ribosomal RNA, 473 nt
Filed under: uncultured bacterium
Lineage: Bacteria
Description: bacterial SSU rRNA
Rfam family: Bacterial small subunit ribosomal RNA
Source: RNAcentral
GAGUUUGAUCCUGGCUCAGAUUGAACGCUGGCGGCAGGCCUAACACAUGCAAGUCGAACGGUAACAGAAAGCAGCUUGCUGCUUUGCUGACGAGUGGCGGACGGGUGAGUAAUGUCUGGGAAACUGCCUGAUGGAGGGGGAUAACUACUGGAAACGGUAGCUAAUACCGCAUAACGUCGCAAGACCAAAGAGGGGGACCUUCGGGCCUCUUGCCAUCGGAUGUGCCCAGAUGGGAUUAGCUUGUUGGUGGGGUAACGGCUCACCAAGGCGACGAUCUCUAGCUGGUCUGAGAGGAUGACCAGCCACACUGGAACUGAGACACGGUCCAGACUCCUACGGGAGGCAGCAGUGGGGAAUAUUGCACAAUGGGCGCAAGCCUGAUGCAGCCAUGCCGCGUGUAUGAAGAAGGCCUUCGGGUUGUAAAGUACUUUCAGCGGGGAGGAAGGGAGUAAAGUUAAUACCUUUGCUCAUUG